CAACAUGGACAUGAGGACCUCUGCUCAGCUCCUAGGGCUCCUGCUGCUCUGGUUCCCAGGUGCCAGAUGUGAUAUUCAGAUGACCCAGUCUCCAUCCUCCCUAUCUGCAUCUCUGGGAGACACAGUGACUAUCACAUGCCGGGCAAGUCAGGGCAUUAGCAAUAACUUAAACUGGUAUCAGCAGAAACCAGGUGAAACUACCAAACUCCUGAUCUACUAUACAAACAGAUUAGAAUCCGGAGUCCCAUCGAGGUUCAGUGGCACUGGAUCAGGGACAGAUUAUUCUCUGACCAUCAGCAAGCUGGAGUCUGAAGAUGCUGGAAUUUAUUACUGUCAAGAGGGUUAUAGUACCCCUCCCACAGUGAUACAAGUCAUAACAUAA
Nannospalax galili (Upper Galilee mountains blind mole rat) is the source of this 382-nucleotide non-coding RNA. The record is from the annotation of a RefSeq genome assembly. Lineage: Eukaryota; Metazoa; Chordata; Mammalia; Rodentia; Spalacidae.